Chlorocebus sabaeus (green monkey) is the source of this 2209-nucleotide non-coding RNA. Lineage: Eukaryota; Metazoa; Chordata; Mammalia; Primates; Cercopithecidae. The record is from RefSeq and is a predicted model, not a curated record.
AUGGGUCCAGAGAUAAACGACUUCAGGUGUGACCAUGAGCGUCAAGGCUGGGAAAGCAGACUUGAAAAGUUUCACCUAAGGGAUCUUGAUUUUCAGACUCUGGAGGGCUUAGAUAACAGGUUCUGGGCUUGUGCUCUCAAGGGAGGCCCCUCUGUAAGCCUGUGCUAUGUGAUUUGCCAGAAAAACAACAAACUACCAGUUAAUCAUCUGCAUAUGUGGCCCAUGUACUGCUGGCCCCCGGGAAUGCAUUCUCUUUCCGUCUCCCAACAUGGCGCCUCAGCAAAAAAGAAGAACAAGAAUGGGAAAACUAUCUCCCUAACAGACUUUCUGGCUGAGGAUGGGAGUACUGGUGGAGGAAGCACCUAUGUUUCCAAACCAGUCAGCCGGGCUGAUGAAACGGAUGAUCUGGAAGGAGAAUUUCAACAACUCGGCACAGUAAUGACGAUGAUGCACAUAGGGCGCCUCCAACUGACCGUUCCAUCCUUCCCACUGCUCCACGGGCUGCUCGGGAACCCAGCAUCGACCGGAGCCGUCUUCCCAAAUCGCCAACCAACACUGCUUUCCUGGGGAACCUCCCCUAUGAUGUUAUAGAAGAGUCAGUCAGGGAAUGCUUCAGAGGAUUAAACAUCAGUGCAGUGCAUUUACCACGUGAACCCAGCAAUCCAGAGAGGUGGAAAGGUUUGGGUUAUGCUGCAUUUGAGGACCUGGAUUCCCUGCUCAGUGCCCUGAGUCUCAGUGAAGAGUCUUUAGGUAACAGGAGAAUUCGAGUGGACGCUGCUGAUCAAGCAGAGGAUAAAGACAGGGAUGAUCGUUCUUUUGGCCGUGAUGGAAAUCGGGAUUCUGACAAAACAGAUACAGACUGGAGGGCUCGUUCUGCCACAGACAGCUUUGAUGACUACUCGCCCAGAAGAGGUGAUGAUAGCUUUGGAGACAAGUGUCGAGAUGGUUAUGAUUCAGACCAGUAUGGCGAUGGGGAUCGGGAUGGGGACCGGGAUGGCCCACGCCGGGAAAUGGAUUGAUGCGGUGGCCGGGGUCGCUGUGGUGAUCGAGGCAGCAGAGACUCUGACAGAGGCUGUGAUUCCCGGACAGGCAGUGGCGGAAGAGCAUUUGGCCGUGGGUACCGCAGGGAUGAUGACUGCGGAGGACGCGGGGACCGCUAUGCAAAGACCGAUACGACAGACAGGAUGAUGAGUCGUGGAGCUCCAGAGAUGAGAUGAUUACUCUCGGGAUGAUUAUAGGCGUGAUGAUAGAGGUCCCCCCGCCAAAGACCCAAACUGAAUCCAACGCCUCCGAGGACUCCUAAGGAAGAUGAUUCCUCUGCUGGUACCUCCCAGUGCAGUCCAGCUGCUUCUAUCUUUGGAGGGGCAAAGCCCGUUGACACAGCUGCUAGAGAAAGAGAAAUAGAAGAACCGCUACAGAAGGAGCGAAAGAAGUUGCAGGGUCAGCUGGAUGAGCCAAAACCAGAACGACGGCCGGGGAGAGACACCCAAGCUGGCGAAGUGAAGAAACUCAGGCACGGGAACGGUCGAGGACAGGAAGUGAGUCAUCGCAGACCGGGACCUCCGCCACAUCUGGCAGAAAUGCACGAAGGAGAGAGAGUGAGAAGUCCCUAGAAAAUGAAACACUCAAUAAGGAGGAAGAUUGUCACUCUCCAACUUCUAAACCUCCCAAACCUGAUCAGCCCCUAAAGGUAAUGCCAGCCCCUCCACCAAAGGAGAAUGCUUGGGUAAAGCGAAGUUCUAACCCUCCUGCUCCAUCUCAGAGCUCAGACACAGAGCAGCAGUCCCCUGCAAGUGGUGGUGGAAAAGUAGCUCCGGCUCAACCAUCUGAGGAAGGACCAACAAGGAAAGAUGAAAAUAAAGUAGAUGGGAUGAAUGUUCCAAAAGGCCAAACUGGGAACUCUAGCUGUGGUCCAGGAGAUGGAGGGAACAAAAACCGCUGGAAGGAGUCAGAUAGGAAAGAUGGCAAAAAGGAUCAAGACUCCAGAUCUGCACCUGAGCCAAAGAAACCUCAGGAAAACCCAGCUUCCAAGUUCUGUUCUGCAAGCAAGUAUGCUGCUGUCUCUGUUGAUGGUGAAGAUGAAAAUGAGGGAGAAGAUUACACCGAAUAGACCUCUACAUCCUGUGCUUUCUCCUAGUUUUUCUCCACCCUGGAACAUUCGAGAGCAAAUCAAACCUCUAUCCAGACAAGAAAAAAUAAAACUCACCAU